Molecule: transfer RNA, 82 nt
Filed under: Roseivirga sp.
Lineage: Bacteria; Pseudomonadati; Bacteroidota; Cytophagia; Cytophagales; Roseivirgaceae
Description: tRNA-Leu
Rfam family: tRNA
About the family: Transfer RNA (tRNA) molecules are approximately 80 nucleotides in length. Their secondary structure includes four short double-helical elements and three loops (D, anti-codon, and T loops).
Source: RNAcentral
GCGCAUGUGGCGGAAUUGGUAGACGCGCUGUCUUCAGGUGGCAGUGUCCUAGGACGUGGAGGUUCGACUCCUCUCAUGCGCA